AGAUAAUAUAUCUUGUUCCGGUGUAUGCGUAGAGCAUCAUCUUACCAAUAAUUGUGAGGCGUACUUCAAUUCCACCGACCUUUGUAGCUCGGGCAAACGAUGUUGCGUCAAUAUAACCUCAUACGUAGGCAGCCUACCACCGGACCUCGUCGUGCCCUCUGAAACUAUACGUCCCACAGAACAGUCUCUAGCGACGACAACGGCCACGAAUGUGACCACGAGUUGACCAACAACGAGAAAGAAAACCUCAUCAAGUACCUUCAAACAAAUCAACUGAACUGACGAAAGUGACCACAACC
Vanessa tameamea is the source of this 299-nucleotide long non-coding RNA. RefSeq lists it as uncharacterized. The transcript has 3 exons. The record is from RefSeq and is a predicted model, not a curated record. NCBI's taxonomy places the organism in Eukaryota, Metazoa, Arthropoda, Insecta, Lepidoptera, Nymphalidae.